Molecule: long non-coding RNA, 960 nt
Organism: Varanus komodoensis (Komodo dragon)
Lineage: Eukaryota; Metazoa; Chordata; Lepidosauria; Squamata; Varanidae
Exons: 4
Source: RefSeq, a predicted model, not a curated record
GGGGUGAGCUAGAGGGGGAGGGGGUGUGUGUGUGCACACGUGUGUGUACUGAGGUGAAAGGAUGAAAAUGGUAAGGUUGGAGGCUGAGAGGACAGGGGAAAUAACGGAAUAGAAAAGGGCAACACUAGCAGACUGGAGCAGGGAGAAACAAACUGAGGAGAGAAAUUUGCUGGGUUCACACAUCACAACCAACCCUGUGUGGUUUCCAGAGUGCAAAGUGUUUUGCCUAGAUAUGCCUGACAAAUGAUCGUGUCUUUUUUGCACUAGUGUGUUUUCCACACUCCUCACAUAGUCCUCCCACUAUUGGCAUAUAUCUCAUCAGCCACUGGACCCAAUAUGUAAUCAUAUGCUGAAUGGCUGGAAUAUUUCUUUCAGUUGUUGCUCUUUCCAGGGGUCUCUGUGAUGGCUGUAUGGACUGUGGCAAUCAUCCUGCUGGGUUCAAACAACUGGAGAAAUUAUGGGAAGAAGUUGUGCUGGAGCCUUUAAUAAUGGACAGAUUCAGUUAUGUUUUCCAUUAACUUGUUCAGGUCUAGGAAAAAAAGAAGAAGAAUGGUUGGAUUCUCUUGCUCAAAAUUCAAGCACAAAGAGCUUAUCAAAAACUAAGGAAAAAAGUGGUUGCUUUGCAGCAGAGCAGUUCUUCACACAGGAAUGAGUUUUUGAUUGAUGCUAAAACCGGAUGCAUCAGAAAUAUGAAUGAACACAUCAUCAUGGAAAACUAACAUGGAUUGAUUGGCCCAUUCCAAGUGGCACCUAGAUGUCACAGUUACUCCCUUAAGAAGAAUGUUUGAUAACACUUUGCUGGCAGAAAAACUGACAGCUAGCUUUUGGCCUACCAGUUGAGUGAUUUUAAUUAGAUAUUUUAAACUCUGCAGCUUAUAUUCAUUUAAUUUAUUAAUUAAAAAUUCAUAAAGCAUCCUUCAUCAAAUAGAUAUCAGGGCAGGAAAUAUAAGUAUAACCCAA